AUUGAACGCUGGCGGCAGGCCUAACCCAUGCAAGUCGAACGAGUGGCGGACGGGUGAGUAAUGUCUGGGCAACUGCCUGAUGGAGGGGGAUAACUACUGGAAACGGUAGCUAAUACCGCAUACCAUCAGAUGUGCCCAGCUGGGAUUAGCUGGUAGGAGGGGUAACUGCUCACCUAGGCGACGAUCCCGAGCUGGUCUGCGAGGAUGAACAGCCACACUGGAACUGAGACACGGUCCAGACUCCUACGGGAGGCAGCAGUGGGGAAUAUUGCACAAUGGGCGCAAGCCCGAUGCAGCCAUGCCGCGUGUAUGAAGAGGGCCUUCGGGUUGUAAAGUACUUUCAGCAGGGAGGCGUUACCUGCAGAAGAAGCACCGGCUAACUCCGUGCCAGCAGCCGCGGUAAUUC
Molecule: ribosomal RNA, 406 nt
Filed under: uncultured bacterium
Lineage: Bacteria
Description: partial 16S ribosomal RNA
Rfam family: Bacterial small subunit ribosomal RNA
Source: RNAcentral